UAAUAAGUGUUUUAUGGCACUUUUUAAAUCCAUAUCCACCUUGUGUGCAAUGUCAGUCGAUCUUCUUCAUGGAGAUCGACCAAACAUCAACCUUUAUCUUUUAACUCUUUGUCUGAAAAAUAUUAUGAAUAAACAAUUCAAAAUACAACUUUCAACAACGGAUCUCUUGGCUCUCGCAUCGAUGAAGAACGCAGCGAAAUGCGAUACGUAAUGUGAAUUGCAGAAUUCAGUGAAUCAUCGAACCUUUGAACGCAUAUUGCGCUCUUUGGUAUUCCGAAGAGCAUGCUUGUUUGAGUAUCAGUAAACACCUCAAAGCUUUUGGAUUUUUUAAUCGAAAAGCUUUGGACUUGAGCAAUCCCAACACCAAUCCUUUUUGAGAUCGGUGGCGGGUUGCUUGAAAUGCAGGUGCAGCUGGACAUUCUCCUGAGCUAAAAGCAUAUUCAUUUAGUCCCGUCAAACGGAUUAUUACUUUCGCUGCAGCUAACAUAAAGGGAGUUUGACCGUAUUGGCUGACUGAUGCAGGAUUUCACAAGGGUCGGCAACGAUUCUUGUUAAACUCGAUCUCAAAUCAAGUAAGACUACCCGCUGAACUUAAGCAUAUCAAUAAGCGGAGGAAUCGUAGCCUUGGUCAUUUAGAGGAAGUAAAAGUCGUAACAAGGUUUCCGUAGGUGAACCUGCGGAAGGAUCACUAGUGAUUAAAUCGAGCGUGUCUUCAUUGACCGCUCACCCUUCUCACCAUCCACAUACACCUGUGCACUGUUUAGCCUGAGCCGGUUUUCCGGUCCAGGUUAUCAUUUCAUACAAACUCUAGUCUUAUGAAUGUAAACGUUUUAAUAACAUAAUA
This 844-nucleotide unclassified non-coding RNA is filed under the name soil metagenome. Its description in RNAcentral is "partial contains internal transcribed spacer 1, 5.8S ribosomal RNA, and internal transcribed spacer 2". The stretch from base 147 to 300 matches the Rfam family "5.8S ribosomal RNA". The record is from RNAcentral.